This is a long non-coding RNA of Drosophila persimilis, 877 nucleotides long. RefSeq lists it as uncharacterized. The record is from RefSeq and is a predicted model, not a curated record. The transcript has 3 exons. Lineage: Eukaryota; Metazoa; Arthropoda; Insecta; Diptera; Drosophilidae.
CUAUUACAUUGACGACGAUGAUGAUGAUGAUGAUGACAGCCACCAGCAUCAGCUACUACCGACGCAACCACACCAACAACCACAAACGCAGGCACUGGCCAGAGCCAUUCCCACAGUAUCAGCAGGAGCAACAGCAACUCCCACGCCAGUAUCUGUAGCAGCCCCAGCCGCUGCAUCGGCCACGACAAUUUCUUUGUAAAAAGCUAUAACACAUACCAUUUAAGGAUUAGUUAUCAUAGUUAUUCUCCCCCAUUAAUUUUCUUGGCAUUGAUGCCCAACCCAAGUGGAAGCCCAACAUAUUUUACACAAAGCGGUUUCGAUCACACUACACUUCAGAGUUAUGUUGAACAUUAUUCAUUCAACGAACUGACGCUAACGUUCCGUUCCGAUACCCAAUUGUAAAAUGAACACAAUGCAUAUAGAAAUCAACAGAUUACUUGCGACAUCAUCAUCCGAUUUCAGCCACUUUUUAGCGACAGAGAACGAUUUCGCUAGCAUGUCCAAAUAAUAAUAUGUUGUACAUCUAUCUUUUUUACUUCCCCACAGCUGGUUUGAGGAGUGCGUAGAGGUGGAGAAGGAGUCAGCGCCGCGGACGGACAACCAGAUGCAGGACAGCUGCAGCAAGAACUAUGAAUCAAUUGAGAAGAUUCCUUUAUAAUUUUCCAUCUUCUAGUUUUCAACAUUUGUUUUCUUCUCCUUCUAGUUGUACAACGCUGAAAAUUUGAAACAAUUAUGUUCGUUUUUCUAAGAAAAAGAUAUCUGAAAAAAGGUAAUAACAAGCAAACAAAGAAUUGCAAAAUGAAAUGAAGAUAUUGAUUUAAUUUUACCAAAUAAACCAGAAAAAAAAUAUACAGCGAAAGCUAACAAAAAAACCAAA